AGGGCGCACGGUGGAUGCCUUGGCACUAAGAGCCGAUGAAGGACGUGACUAACGACGAUAUUCUAGGGGGAGCAGUAAGUACGCAUUGAUCCCUAGGUCUCCGAAUGGGGAAACCCAGCUGCUACUAGCAGUUAUUCAUGAGUGAAUACAUAGCUCAUGUAAAGGUAACGCAGAGAACUGAAACAUCUAAGUACCUGCAGGAAGAGAAAGUAAAAACGAUUUCGUAAGUAGCGGCGAGCGAACGCGAAGAAGGGCAAACCAAGAAGCUUGCUUCUUGGGGUUGUAGGACUGCAACGUGGACUUAAGCAUUAUAGUCGAAUAACCUGGGAAGGUUAAUCAAAGAGGGUAAUAAUCCCGUAGACGAAAUAGCGCUUAUACCUAGCAGUAUCCUGAGUAGGGCUGGACACGCGAAAUCCAGUUUGAAUCCGGGAGGACCAUCUCCCAACCCUAAAUACUCCUUAGUGACCGAUAGUGAACCAGUACCGUGAGGGAAAGGUGAAAAGAACCCCGAGAGGGGAGUGAAAUAGCACCUGAAACCGUGUGCCUACAAGAAGUUCGAGCCCGUUAAUGGGUGAGAGCGUGCCUUUUGUAGAAUGAACCGGCGAGUUACGUUAUGAUGCGAGGUUAAGUUGAAGAGACGGAGCCGUAGGGAAACCGAGUCUGAAUAGGGCGACUUAGUAUCAUGAUGUAGACCCGAAACCUAGUGACCUAUCCAUGAGCAGGGUGAAGGUGUGGUAAGACGCACUGGAGGCCCGAACCAGGACACGUUAAAAAGUGUUUGGAUGACUUGUGGAUAGCGGAGAAAUUCCAAACGAACUGGGAGAUAGCUGGUUCUCUCCGAAAUAGCUUUAGGGCUAGCGUCGAAAUGUAAGUGUAUUGGAGGUAGAGCACUGUUUGGGUGAGGGGUCCGUCUAGGAUUACCAAUCUCAGAUAAACUCCGAAUGCUAAUACACAUGUUCGGCAGUCAGACUGCGAGUGCUAAGAUCCGUAGUCGAAAGGGAAACAGCCCAGACCAACAGCUAAGGUCCCAAAAUAUAUGUUAAGUGGAAAAGGAUGUGGGGUUGCACAGACAACUAGGAUGUUAGCUCAGAAGCAGCUAUCAUUCAAAGAGUGCGUAAUAGCUCACUAGUCGAGUGACCCUGCGCCGAAAAUGUACCGGGGCUAAACAUAUUACCGAAGCUUUGGAUUGAUAUUUUAUCAAUGGUAGGAGAGCGUUCUUAACCGCGAUGAAGGUAUACCGUGAGGAGUGCUGGAGCGUUAAGAAGUGAGAAUGCCGGUAUGAGUAGCGCAAGAUAAGUGAGAAUCUUAUCCACCGUAAGACUAAGGUUUCCAGGGGAAGGCUCGUCCGCCCUGGGUUAGUCGGGACCUAAGGCGAGGCCGAAAGGCGUAGUCGAUGGACAACUGGUUGAUAUUCCAGUACUAGAUAUGAUCGUGAUGGAGGGACGCAGUAGGCUAAGAGAUGCCAGUUAAUGGAUUCUGGUCUAAGCAGUGAGGUGUGAGAUGUGUCAAAUGCAUUUCUCUUUAACAUUGAGCUGUGAUGGGGAAGCAACUACGGUUGCGAACUCUCUGAUGUCACACUGCCAAGAAAAGCUUCUAGCGUAAAGUCAUAUCUACCCGUACCGCAAACCGACACAGGUAGUCGAGGCGAGUAGCCUCAGGUGAUCGAGAGAACUCUCGUUAAGGAACUCGGCAAAAUAGCCCCGUAACUUCGGGAGAAGGGGUGCUGGUGUAAAAGCCAGCCGCAGUGAAUAGGCCCAAGCAACUGUUUAUCAAAAACACAGCUCUCUGCUAAACCGCAAGGUGAUGUAUAGGGGGUGACGCCUGCCCGGUGCUGGAAGGUUAAGAGGAGUGCUUAGACGUAAGUCGAAGGUAUGAGUUGAAGCCCCAGUAAACGGCGGCCGUAACUAUAACGGUCCUAAGGUAGCGAAAUUCCUUGUCGGGUAAGUUCCGACCCGCACGAAAGGCGUAAUGAUUUGGGCACUGUCUCAACGAGAGACUCGGUGAAAUUUUAGUACCUGUGAAGAUGCAGGUUACCCGCGACAGGACGGAAAGACCCCAUGGAGCUUUACUGUAGUUUGAUAUUGAGUACCUGUAAGUCAUGUACAGGAUAGGUAGGAGCCAUUGAAAUAGGGACGCUAGUUUCUAUUGAGGCGUUGUUGGGAUACUACCCUUGACUUAUGGUUACUCUAACCCGCUGGCAUAAUCGGCCAGGGAGACAGUGUCUGACGGACAGUUUGACUGGGGCGGUCGCCUCCUAAAGAGUAAUGGAGGCGCGCGAUGGUAGGCUCAGGACGGUUGGAAACCGUCUGUUAGAGUGCAAUGGCAUAAGCCUGCCUGACUGCGAGACUGACGAGUCGAGCAGAGACGAAAGUCGGUCAUAGUGAUCCGGUGGUCCCUCGUGGAAGGGCCAUCGCUCAACGGAUAAAAGGUACG
RNAcentral lists this ribosomal RNA (2433 nucleotides) under freshwater metagenome. RNAcentral's name for it is "bacterial LSU rRNA". It matches the Rfam family "Bacterial large subunit ribosomal RNA", at positions 14 to 2467 of the family's 2925-position model. The record is from RNAcentral.